AACGAACGCUGGCGGCGUGGAUAAGACAUGCAAGUCGAACGGGAACUUCAGCUGUAGCAAUACAGUUGAAGUUUUAGUGGCGAACGGGUGCGUAACACGUGGGCAAUCUGCCGAGAAGUGGGGGAGUAGCUCGCCGAAAGGCGAAUUAAUACCGCAUAUGAUCAGCUAAGACAUCUUAGCGACAUCAAAGCCGGGGCAACCUGGCGCUUUUUGAGGAGCCCGCGGCCUAUCAGCUAGUUGGUGAGGUAACGGCUCACCAAGGCUAUGACGGGUAGCUGGUCUGAGAGGACGACCAGUCACACUGGAACCUGAGACACGGUCCAGACACCUACGGGUGGCAGCAGUCGAGAAUUUUUCUCAAUGGGGCAACCCUGAAGGAGCGACGCCGCGU
RNAcentral lists this ribosomal RNA (391 nucleotides) under uncultured bacterium. Its description in RNAcentral is "bacterial SSU rRNA". It matches the Rfam family "Bacterial small subunit ribosomal RNA", at positions 29 to 402 of the family's 1533-position model. The record is from RNAcentral.